GAACGCUAGCGGCAGGCUUAAUACAUGCAAGUCGAGGGACAGCACAGGUAGCAAUACUGGGUGGUAACCGGCAAACGGGUGCGGAACACGUACACAACCUUCCUUUAAGUGGGGGAUAGCCCAGAGAAAUUUGGAUUAAUACCCCGUAACACAGUGAGUUGGCAUCAACUUAUUGUUAUAGCCACGGCGCUUGAAGAUGGGUGUGCGGCUGAUUAGAUAGUUGGCGAGGUAACGGCUCACCAAGUCUACGAUCAGUAGCUGAUGUGAGAGCAUGAUCAGCCACACGGGCACUGAGACACGGGCCCGACUCCUACGGGAGGCAGCAGUAAGGAAUAUUGGUCAAUGGACGCAAGUCUGAACCAGCCAUGCCGCGUGAAGGAUUAAGGU
RNAcentral lists this ribosomal RNA (387 nucleotides) under uncultured bacterium. Its description in RNAcentral is "bacterial SSU rRNA". It matches the Rfam family "Bacterial small subunit ribosomal RNA", at positions 31 to 415 of the family's 1533-position model. The record is from RNAcentral.